This 398-nucleotide ribosomal RNA is filed under the name uncultured soil bacterium. Its description in RNAcentral is "bacterial SSU rRNA". It matches the Rfam family "Bacterial small subunit ribosomal RNA", at positions 26 to 430 of the family's 1533-position model. The record is from RNAcentral.
AGAUUGAACGCUGGCGGAAUGCUUUACACAUGCAAGUCGAGCGGCAGCGCGGGGCAACCUGGCGGCGAGCGGCGAACGGGUGAGUAAUGCAUCGGAACAUGUCCAUUCGUGGGGGGAUAGCCCGGCGAAAGCCGGAUUAAUACCGCAUACGCCCUUAGGGGGAAAGCCGGGGACCGCAAGGCCUGGCGCGAAUGGGUUGGCCGAUGCCCGAUUAGCUAGUUGGCGGGUAAUGGCCACAAGGCGAUGAUCGGUAGCUGGUACUGAGAGGAUGAUCAGCCACACUGGGACUGAGACACGGCCCAGACUCCUACGGGAGGCAGCAGUGGGAAUUUGGACAAUGGGGGCAACCCUGAUCCAGCCAUUCCGCGUCGAGUGAAGAAGGCCUUCGGGUUGUAAAG